This is a long non-coding RNA of Poecilia reticulata (guppy), 525 nucleotides long. RefSeq lists it as uncharacterized. The record is from RefSeq and is a predicted model, not a curated record. Lineage: Eukaryota; Metazoa; Chordata; Actinopteri; Cyprinodontiformes; Poeciliidae.
UCUCUCUCUGUGGGCGGAGCUGUGGACCAAUCACAGUCUGGAGGAGCAAAUGUUUAUCUUAUGCUCCUCCAGACUUUUCCAAGGUCCUCAAAAUGCAAAAACUACCAAAUAAGGACAGAAAGAAUUUCUACCAAAGAAAAGUAAGAAACCUCCAGUAUGAAUUCUUUCUCAUUUAGUAACUUCUUAUCUCAAGUUUAAUUCCUGCAGUGUGAAUAUCAGAUCUGGGCCAUAAAAUCUUUUUCAUAUGAAAAGUCAGAACCUGCUUCCUGCUGUGUUUUUUCUAAGGUGUUAAACUGAUCAGCAGCUGUUCAGACGACAACAUGACGGAUUCACAUCUGGACAAAACGCAGCUCUUCUGAUGGAGAAGACAGAAGUGAAGAAUCUGUUUCUGAACMUGCAGCAACUUGAGCAUCAUGUUGGAAAUGAAGUUUGUCUCUUUGGUCUCUGCACACAUUUCAAUUCAACCCAAUUCAAAAAUACCUUUUGAUUCCAAACGGAAAUUAAAUAUUAAAUGUAAUAAUAUGA